GUCUAUUAUGAAGUUAUUUAUAGUCUGGCCUGCUCCCUGACUAUAAAGUUAAAGAGCCGCGGUAAUUUGACCGUGCAAAGGUAGCAUAAUCAUUAGUUUCUUAAUUGGGAACUUGUAUGAAAGGUCUGACAAAGGAAAAGCUGUCUUUAUUGUAAAGGUUGAAUUUAACUUUUAAGUGAAAAGGCUUAAAUGAUUUAGAGGGACGAUAAGACCCUAUAAAGCUUUAUAUAAAAAAUAAUCAAAAUUGAAUUUAUAAUAAAAAUUUAAAUUAAUUAUUAUAUUUUAUUGGGGUGAUAUUAAUAAAAGUAAUAUUAACUGUUAAAAAAAAAAUACGUGAAUAAAAGAAUUGAAUAUAUUAAUGAUCCUUGUUUAAAGAUUAAAAGAUUAAGUUACUUUAGGGAUAACAGCGUAAUUCUUCUUAAGAGUUCAUAUCGAAAGAAGAGAUUUUGACCUCGAUGUUGAAUUAAAAUAUCUGUGUAAAGUAGCCAUUACAUGAGAAGGUC
RNAcentral lists this ribosomal RNA (503 nucleotides) under Trapezia cymodoce. RNAcentral describes it as "partial 16S ribosomal RNA". It matches the Rfam family "Bacterial large subunit ribosomal RNA", at positions 1826 to 2577 of the family's 2925-position model. The record is from RNAcentral. Lineage: Eukaryota; Metazoa; Arthropoda; Malacostraca; Decapoda; Trapeziidae.